UACAGAGGUCCCGAGCGUUGUUCGGAUUCACUGGGCGUAAAGGGUGCGUAGGUGGUGAGGUAAGUCGGAUGUGAAAGCUCGGAGCUCAACUCCGAAAUGGCAUUGGAAACUACCUUGCUCGAGGGUUGGAGGGGGGACUGGAAUUCUCGGUGUAGCAGUGAAAUGCGUAGAUAUCGAGAGGAACACCAGUGGCGAAGGCGAGUCCCUGGACAACUCCUGACGCUGAGGCACGAAAGCUAGGGGAGCAAACAGG
Molecule: ribosomal RNA, 253 nt
Filed under: uncultured bacterium
Lineage: Bacteria
Description: partial 16S ribosomal RNA
Rfam family: Bacterial small subunit ribosomal RNA
Source: RNAcentral